UGCGCAUCCGAUGCGUGAACAAAUCGUAAUGUUCUUGCGAGUAAUCUGCAUAAUUAUUCCCGGGUAACGUUCAAUCUUGUUUUGUUUUCCGGGCGCGACGUCCACUUGACGUCUUUUGUGGAGCGGCUCAGUCGCUUUUUUUGCUGCACACGUGAAGUGAUCCCUUAGUAUUUCCUGUGAAUGUAGGAGGUUCGGAUGCGGACCGCUGCAUGGAAUACGAAGAUGCGAAAGUUUAUUGAUCUCAUAGCACUGGGCGCGGGAGAACGGCAACAAUGAGGAGCUCAUACAUCCUUUGCUCAACGGUGAUUCUUCUGCUGCUUUGGAUGAAAACAGAAAUAGCAUUAGAGGCGAGCAAAAUCAAAACUGGGGUCGAGAUUUUGAUGAAGUUCUACAAACCAUGCGUGACUGGAUGGAAUAGCACCAAUUGUUUUCGGGAAAAAACUGUGCAUCAACCAGACCCCGUACACACGACCAACCGUACUUCACCUCAAACAGGUAACACGAUGCCAUCUGAGGACCCACCCCAACAAGACAACGUAACUUCUACCAAAAGGAGCCAGACUAAUUUUGCCGUGGGCGCAAAUUUAAACUUCACGCUCAUUGGUUUGGUUCGCAAGAUUGUACGAUUAUUCUCAACGGUUGCGACCUCCGGCAAAACUACGAAUCCAUCCAUGGCAAGAUCAAGCGAACCUGCCGAUGAUCAACGGAAAGACGAAAAAAAUUCUGCUAUCAAGGGCAAGAAAGUUCAGAAAGAUGCUUCAGAAUACUCAGAGGACAAUAAUUACACCGAGGAAGAUAUGCAAUUCGAGCCAGAUCAAGGUCACGAAGGUAGUGAUAUGGGUUACGCGGGAGAGGAGGAGGAACUUGAACUGGAGGAACCGGAAGAGGAAACAGAGGAAGAAGACGAUGAUGACGAUCUUGGCGGUGGCGGUGGUGGAUACAUGCGCCCUAUCGCAAUGAACAUGGGCGCCAUAAUGACGAAACCCAGCAUGGAGCCGCAGAAAAUGCCCAACACAGGGUCAGUGAGCCUCAAGAAAGAACCAUCCUCAAUGAUGUCUGGCAUGAGUUGGCCCAUGAGACCCAUGCAGAUGAUGCCUCUUAUGGGAGCGCCCAAUGGAGGUGAAAUGAUGAUGCCCCUAAAAAGUGGUGACGAAGACGACGGUGGCCAAAAUAUGGUGCCCAUGAUGAUGAUGAUGAUGCCAUCCUCCGACUCAUCGCACCACGACAAGCAUAAACACAAGGACAAGCAUAAGCACAAAAAAGAAGAAGAAAAAGAAGCAUAAGAAGAAAAAAGAGAGUGCAGCCGCUGCUAUGAUGGCCGAUAAAAUGGACGGUGGUGGAGAUGGGGCCGGCAUGAUGCCCGACCCUUCCACCAUGAUGAAAAUGGGGAUGAUUGGGGUUGGGGGUAUGGUUUUGCUCAUCCUCAAAGCCAUCACGCUGAUUUCGGGUAAAGCUGUUCUGCCAGCACCAUAGCGCUCACCUUAUCCAUCAUCAUGGCCUUAAAAGCGCUCUUCAACUCAGUCCAUGCGCAUCCACCAGAGGGCGCUGAUAAGGUCAUGACUUACAUGAAGAAGCCGAUUCAUAUCAACGCUGACGCUGGUUACCCGGACUAUAGGAACUACCAUGGAAGUGACUGGGGCUACCAUGAUUCUAGUUACUUCCCAACGAAGAAGUCCGGGAAGCUGCCAGAGUAUAAAAUAGACAAGCUCAAGCGAAAAGAUAAGACUCCUACAACCCUAGCUCAAACUGAACUCACAACGGGCAGUCCCGUCAACCCUUUCGAUUUCAACCCGGAGACGUAUAGCUCGGCAAAUAUUAUAAAUUAUAAAAGUGGUCUGAAUAACAGUGGUAUCAGCCAAUUCUAUUCACAUUCCGUCCCACUUUACACAGGAUAUGCUCCGAUCAAUUCUUGAGGAUUCUUCUAUUCUUGAAAAAUAAAGAAUUAAAAAACAUUUACAAUAUUUUUCCUUACCUUUUUGUAAUGCUAAAAUAGUUUAAAUCUACUUUGCUAAUACUACAAGUUCUCAUUCUUAAGUUACAUUCCUAUUUUGCAAUUUUCUACUUAAAGGAAAAGAAAAAAGAAAAAAAAGUCAUGGUCACACGGUUAUUUCUGUACCUGAAAAGUGCAUUAUGGUCCAACAGUUCUCUGUGCUUUUUGCAAACCUAACCGAUGAAUCAUAGAACUAGUAUAGUAUUGCUCAAGUUCACAAAAUAUUUUUUAUUGUAAAAUUUUUGUUUUCAUUGUGCACAUAAUGAUGAAAUGUUUACACAUUUGUUCUACCGACAAAUGAUGUGUUUUUCACUAAUCAUAAAACGAUCGUUACAGGUUUCACCAAUUAUAGUUACGAGCUAAACAAUCAGUAAACGUAUACGUUUUUGUGUUUCCGUUAUGAUUCGAUUACUCACAUCGAAUUUCAAUUUGAAUUCAAUUUAUUGAAGUAAGUUUUUUAUUGCCAACAGUGGGCUGUAAAGUCUAUUUUUAAGAAAUUUUCAUGGGAAAAGAUGUUGCGUAGUGCUUCCAUUCAUAUUUCGUCUGGGCGCUCAUUGUGCGGUUUUUAUUUAGAUAGUUGCGUAAUUUGAGUUUUUUUAGAUUCCAAACUAAUGAACUAAGCCGUAUUCUCUGAAUGAGCUCAUUUCAAUGAAAAUGUAUCAUAGUCGCUCAACAAACGCACACUUGAGAAACAUUACUUUCAACCAAUAAUGCCAGACAAAAAUGCUUUAUAAACUAUAGAAAUUGGGAAAUGGUUCGUACGAGGAUAAACUAUUUUUAAAUAUCGACGCACAUGAAACAAGCCUCCAAUGUUAGCUACUGUAUACGGCAUGACUAUUCAUUACAUUUUCACUGCCAAUACGAACAAAAACAACCAACAAUAAAGUUGUUAUUCCCGGUUAUAUGAAUUUUAGGAAAUGCAAAGCAGCAAGUGAGUGUAACUCAAACUUAUUGAUGCUACAAGAUUCUCCAGUAGAAGCACUACGUAUAAUAGGGACACAUUUAUCUUCUAUUUAAAAAAAUAGAAAUGUACUUCAGCACAAAUUACACAGGUCUCCUGACUGCUGCAAUAUGUUGAGCACUUUAUCAAUUUGGAAAACUAUAGUCGCAAACUUUCACAUGUAGAAAAAUUCUAUUACACACGUUGUGCAUUGGUUUGUGAUAGAGGAUUUCAUGCAGAAGACACGUAAAUUUCUCGAAUAUAAGUGAGGAGCGCACACUUUGAUAUUUACAUUAUUAUUAGAGGACAUUCCAUGCCGAGGUACCGUUACGCUUUUUGAAAUAUUUUUAUUGACAAGCCUUAUUCGAGAUGGCUGCCGAGGAAGCGAUCAACAAAACAGCAGGUAAGCACUCCUGAAACCUGAAAUCCUUCACCAUUCCACCUCUAGAAUCCUCUUUGAGGUAUCAACAUGGGUUGACAAAAGGUGAUACCAGCAGUGAUAACAAAUGGGUAUUCAAACGAUUUCACCAAAAUUAUGAAAAUACCACCAGUUAUCGGGCUCCCGACCUUACAGCAUUACUGUGUCAAAAAUUAAGUAGAUUAGGCAACGAUAGAUAUUACCAUCCUUCCACUACAAUUUUCCAUACAUUGUUUCAGUAAGCCUGGCUCAUCCUAGCGUAUACAUUUCUACAUAAUAAUUUGAAAGUCAAAGUUCAGAAAAAAUGCAUUUUUAUUGCAAAAUGAAAAUCGAUAUAUCUAAAUAUAUGUAUGGCAAAAGUGAAAAUCACGCACCUCCGUUUGUGACGUUGCGAGGUUCCUCUUGUAUUUGAUUUUUCUUUGGAAAACUAGUCAAAACAAUUUGCCUUUUGUGUUUAAAAAAUAUUUGUAUGAAUUUCAAGCUAUAAACUUGGCUUGUUUCUCAUAAAAAAAUUAAAUAGAAGCGGGACUUUAAAAUAUAACGAAUAAGAUAUUGACGGUGAAAGUACCAGAUCACGUACCUCGGUUUGCGAUGUUGCAGACUCCCUGUCAUACUUUAUUUUUAAAAGAAUACUACUCAACGUCAAUCCUUGAAAACUGCUGUGUUUUCCCUUCUCUGUGUGAAGAAAACUCUGAAAAUCUAAAGAAAUUAUGUUGGUUUGUUCUCAUUGAAAAAUUAAAAUGAGAGCGGAGAUUUUUAAACAUCGCAACCGAGGUACAAAGUCUGGUAGUUCACCGUCGAUAUGUGGUUUUGAUACUUAAAUGAUGACAAAAGGGUGCCAAAAGUUGUCAGUGAAGUCAUAAAUACACUUUAAGAGGUAUAUUUUACCUCCUGUAACUUCAUGUUAUCAACAGAAAGCAUGACAUUUUUUAUGGUGCAAAUUUUAAAUAAACAAACAAUAAAGAGGAUUCGCUCGCCUUAAUUCAAUUAUUGUCCGGGCCUAGCGUGCACGCAAACGAUGGACUAUGUGGUUAAGGAGAGGAUAACAAAGCGUGCUAUGACCCUAGUGGAAGUGAAGUAUCCGCUGCGGAUACUUAACCAUCCGCAGCGGAUGCUGAGUCCGUGCAAGCAUCCGCCAGCAUCCGCAAGCAUCCGCCGCAUGGGGUUGCACAGGGUAGCAGGCAGUUCCAGGAAAAGCUGCAGGAGCAGGCGGAUGGUUGCGGAUGCUAAGCAUCCGCCAGCAUCUGCAAGCAUCCGCGAGCAUCUGCAAGCAUCCGCGAGCAUCUGCAAGCAUCCGCGAGCAUCCGCAAGCAUCCGCGGGCUCCUACCAGCCUGUGCAGCUCACUAAUUACACUGUUUCUGCACACAGUGAGCAAUUCCUUGUCCAAAGAAGGAGGAUUAUAG
RNAcentral lists this long non-coding RNA (4752 nucleotides) under Bemisia tabaci. Its description in RNAcentral is "lncRNA ENSSSA2NGG003115". The record is from RNAcentral. Lineage: Eukaryota; Metazoa; Arthropoda; Insecta; Hemiptera; Aleyrodidae.